Molecule: transfer RNA, 77 nt
Filed under: Fidelibacterota bacterium
Lineage: Bacteria; Pseudomonadati; Fidelibacterota
Description: tRNA-Pro
Rfam family: tRNA
About the family: Transfer RNA (tRNA) molecules are approximately 80 nucleotides in length.
Source: RNAcentral
CGGAGCGUGGCGUAGUCCGGUAGCGCACUGCAAUGGGGUUGCAGAGGUCGCAGGUUCAAAUCCUGUCGCUCCGACUA